AUGUCUUAUAUUUUGCUAUUAUCAUUGUUUCAAUGAAAAUGGUGAGCAAAGUUUAAGACAUUC
This 63-nucleotide microRNA precursor is filed under the name Schmidtea mediterranea. RNAcentral describes it as "Sme-Mir-87-o11_pre stem-loop". The record is from RNAcentral. Lineage: Eukaryota; Metazoa; Platyhelminthes; Tricladida; Dugesiidae.